CUUGGUCAUUUAGAGGAGUAAAAGUCGUAACAAGGUUUCCGUAGGUGAACCUAGCGGAAGGAUCAUUAUCGAAAUUAUUGGUGAGGGUUGUAGCUGGCCUUUCGAGGCAUGUGCACGCUCGAGCCCUUAAUCCACUUUACACCUGUGCACUUAAUGUAGGUCGCCCUUAAAAAAGGUGACCUAUGUCUUAUCAUCAACCCAUCGUAUGUCUCAUAGAAUGUAAUCGAUAUCCUCGCCCUGAAAAAGCGUUGAUAAACUUAUACAACUUUCAACAACGGAUCUCUUGGCUCUCGCAUCGAUGAAGAACGCAGCGAAAUGCGACAAGUAAUGUGAAUUGCAGAUUUUCAGUGAAUCAUCGAAUCUUUGAACGCACCUUGCGCUCCUUGGUAUUCCGAGGAGCAUGCCUGUUUGAGUGUCAUUAAAUUCUCAACUCCAAGGGUUUCACGACCUUUCGGAGAUUGGACUUGGAGGUGCUGGCCGCAUAUUGGUCGGCUCCUCUCAAAUGCAUCAGCGGAAUUCAACCUUUGGCUUCCGGAUGUCAGUGUGAUAAUCAUGUUGCGCUGUCGUUUGAUCCCUCAGAGUCCGCUUAUAAUGGUCUUCGGACAAAAUCAUCAUCAAAUUUGACCUCAAAUCAGGUAGGACUACCCGCUGAACUUAAGCAUAUCAAUAAGCGGGAGGA
This 679-nucleotide ribosomal RNA is filed under the name uncultured fungus. RNAcentral describes it as "eukaryotic LSU rRNA". The stretch from base 264 to 418 matches the Rfam family "5.8S ribosomal RNA". The record is from RNAcentral. Lineage: Eukaryota; Fungi.